This is a long non-coding RNA of Gymnogyps californianus (California condor), 1841 nucleotides long. RefSeq lists it as uncharacterized. The record is from RefSeq and is a predicted model, not a curated record. The transcript has 8 exons. NCBI's taxonomy places the organism in Eukaryota, Metazoa, Chordata, Aves, Accipitriformes, Cathartidae.
CUGUGUAAAGUACCUGUCCUUCUUCAAGUAAUACCGGACCCUAAAAGAAGCAUAGGGCUGCAACAGUGAGGACUUUGCGUAUUUAUGUUACUGACACAGGUGAUGCAAAACUGAAUAAAGUACACUGAAGACUUGUAAACUGUACUUCUCUCGCCUUCUUUGAUGGAAGUGACCUCUGCCUGAAAGCAGGGAAGACGUGGAAUAACUCCUCUGACUUAGAAAUAUGGAAGAUGUGAAGAACUGAGGCCAACUCAUCUUGUAUCAAGACGGGUGGAAACUCCCAGCCAACCAGGAAUGAUGGAAAGAUUGAGUGAAAGUCAGAAUUGGAAGCUUACACACUGUCACUGACUCCUGUUGUACUGCAGCUGCCUAUCAAGUUACCAUCCAUAUGGAAAGUACCCAUCAAGCAAUAUACCAACUGAAGAGAAGUAUGUGUGCGUACUAUUAACUUCUUUUGGGGCACAUAUAAGAUUCCAGAGAAAAAGAAAAUUGCGUGACAAAGGCCACCAUGCUAGAUAAAACUUCUUUAAGGCACCUGAGAGAGAGAGAGAAAGAACACCUCCAGAGAGCAGCCUGCUGAUAGAACCUACUUCUAACAAUAUGCUCUUUGUGGUUGGCUCUUCAAGGACUGGAAUGGUCAAAUGAAGAAGGGGAGAUGGUCCUGGAGUUGGUAAUGAGGCGAAAUAAAGACAACAUGAUGGAAAUCUCUAAAAACAAGUGUUCAUGUCACUUGUUCUCUCUAUCUGCUGUCUACAAAGAAACAUUUCUGCAAGUGAGGCCACUGCUGAACCUGAAAAUCAUGGAGGACAUUAGUUACCCACAACAGGACAGGCAAUCUGUGAGCAAUAUGCCUGAGCAGAUAGCGGGGAUGGGGAGGACAGGGCUGAGGAAUGGAAUGCUGCACCAUGGGCUAUGUAUUGAGUGGGUAUUUCAAACCAAGUACCGUGCUGUACAAUGAUUAACAGCAGAAGUACCUUCUGCUUGCACUGCAGAGUGGUGUGGCUGCACUUCAGUUUGAUAUAUAGGUAGCUAAAUCAGUAUGAUUAGACUGUGCAAAUUAAAUUGAUGUAACAUCAUAUAGGCAUUGCCUGGAGAAGAAAGAAUUUGAUUUUCAGAAAUGCUGGAUACUUGCAAGUUCAGCUGCCUAAGGAUUGCUUUGAAAAAAUUGAGUCUUUGGUGUGGAGCCUUUGUUUAGCCAGACAAAGAUAUAAUUUUUAAGGUAAAGGACAAGGAAGAAAGAAAGAAUUUAUAAGAAGCUAUGAGAAGUAAAGACGAAAAAAUUCUCAAAAUAAUAUUUAGACUCAGGCAAAUUCUAUGAAAUGGAAUAAAACCACAACAUGGCAGCUCAUAUCCAGAGUAAAAUUCACUUUAAUAAAGUUGUUGUUAGUAUUUUUAUGAAAGUAUUAAAUGAAUAUUUAGGAAAUUGAUAUUAUCACAGGAAAUUUGUCACUUGGCAGUCACUACUUGACAUUCAGUUAUUUUCAGUUUACGGUCCGAUACAAAAUUAUUCUGAUAGCCACCAUUAAUUUUCUAGAGUAUUACAAAGAGCACUAUUUGCACUCCUUACUAGAAGCCUUAAAGGAAAGAACAAGUACAAGUACUUUCUUUCGCCCAGAAGUCAGCUCUCAAGGCUGCAGUUAGGGAACUACCAUUUUUAUAUACCAUCAACUGUAAAAUCUCAGAUUCCAUUAAAAGUAUCUAGUGUUUUUGCCUGUGCUUUUGGUAUGGAAAUGUUUCAAAUUCAGAUUACUCCUAGAACAUCAAGAUAAAAGGGAAAGAGACUUACCUCAUUUAAAUGUAAUUAAUGAAUUGUUAACUCUGAAACCUAAUGAUGACAUUAA